UGGGGAAUAUUGCACAAUGGGCGCAAGCCUGAUGCAGCCAUGCCGCGUGUAUGAAGAAGGCCUUCGGGUUGUAAAGUACUUUCAGUCGGGAGGAAGGUGUCAAGGUUAAUAACCUUGGCAAUUGACGUUACCGACAGAAGAAGCACCGGCUAACUCCGUGCCAGCAGCCGCGGUAAUACGGAGGGUGCAAGCGUUAAUCGGAAUUACUUGGCGUAAAGCGCACGCAGGCGGUUGAUUGAGUCAGAUGUGAAAGCGCCGGGGUUAACCCGGGAAUUGCAUAUGAUACUGGGGAGCUAGAGUGUUGUAGAGGGGGGUAGAAUUCCAUGUGUAGCGGUGAAAUGCGUAGAGAUGGGGAGGAAUACCGGUGGCGAAGGCGGCCCCCUGGACAAAGACUGACGCUCAGGUGCGAAAGCGUGGGGAGCAAACAGG
Molecule: ribosomal RNA, 429 nt
Filed under: Chloroflexota bacterium
Lineage: Bacteria; Bacillati; Chloroflexota
Description: Chloroflexi bacterium partial 16S ribosomal RNA
Rfam family: Bacterial small subunit ribosomal RNA
Source: RNAcentral